GCUUACGGCCACACCGGCCUGAGUACGCCUGAUCUCGUCCGAUCUCGGAAGCUAAGCAGGGUUGGCCCUGGGUAGUACUUGGAUGGGAGACCGCCUGGGAAUACCAGGUGCUGUAAGCU
RNAcentral lists this ribosomal RNA (119 nucleotides) under Oncorhynchus mykiss (rainbow trout). The record is from RNAcentral. Lineage: Eukaryota; Metazoa; Chordata; Actinopteri; Salmoniformes; Salmonidae.